UACAUGGGGUGCAAACGUUGCUCGGAAUUAUUGGGCGUAAAGCGCACGUAGGCGGUCUGUUAAGUCGGAUGUGAAAGCCCUCGGCUCAACUGAGGAAGUGCACCCGAAACUGGCAGGCUUGAGUACUAAAGAGGGUCGCGGAAUUCCCGGUGUAGAGGUGAAAUUCGUAGAUAUUGGGAAGAACACCGAUGGCGAAGGCAGCCAUCUGGACCGACACUGACGCUGAGGCGCGAAAGCGUGGGGAGCAAACAGG
This 253-nucleotide ribosomal RNA is filed under the name uncultured bacterium. RNAcentral describes it as "partial 16S ribosomal RNA". It matches the Rfam family "Bacterial small subunit ribosomal RNA", at positions 524 to 776 of the family's 1533-position model. The record is from RNAcentral.